AUGCCUACAGCGGCCACCACGGGCGUCGCCGCCGUGUCCUUGCCUGACGACGUCGUCUCUGACAUCCUCUCCAGGCUGCCGGUGAAGUGCGUGAGUCGUCUCCGGUGUGUCUGCACAGGGUGGCGCGCCCUCAUCUCCGACCCGGGCUUCGCUGCCCUGCAUAGAUCUCGCCAGGCCGAGCCCCUCAUCAUCGCCAGCAUCUACCAGGAAUACCCCUGGGGAUCCCGCGGCCUGUAG
This 237-nucleotide ribosomal RNA is filed under the name Triticum aestivum (bread wheat). RNAcentral's name for it is "partial small subunit ribosomal RNA". Lineage: Eukaryota; Viridiplantae; Streptophyta; Magnoliopsida; Poales; Poaceae. The record is from RNAcentral.